Bufo bufo (common toad) is the source of this 2175-nucleotide RNA transcript. It is a transcript of the gene named zwilch kinetochore protein, with no coding region annotated. The record is from RefSeq and is a predicted model, not a curated record. Lineage: Eukaryota; Metazoa; Chordata; Amphibia; Anura; Bufonidae. The transcript is spliced from 19 exons.
UCUCAUUUUUAGCCCGGUUGAGGCCGGGGUUGUACUUCCGGGGGCGGUGACCCCUGUGACAGCGACAGCCCGCGCAGUUUGGUUCGGGGCCGGAGGAGGAUAAUGUGGAUGGAAAGACACCAGGCGGCGGAGGAGCUGCAUGCGUUUCUUAUCAGCAUUCGGGAGCUUGUCAAGAAAGGUGAUCCUGGUCCCUUUUCUUAUAAGGAUGAGCUACAGGUUCACUUGUUCAGUCCUGGCCAAUGCCAGUCAUUGGAGAGUUUUUGGAGCGCAAACGAAAUGUCUUUUGUGGUGGAGAAAAAGAUUUUGAAACUGGAGGAAGACAUCAUAGAAGAAUCCCAGGCUAGCGACAGCCACUUAUUUGAUCUUUCUGUAGAAAAAUCCUGUGCGCCGCUGCCUGUCUCAACCAUGCAAGCCAGGCAGCUCCUUUCAAGCUAUACUUUGACACACAACCCCAACAUGGCACAGUUUGGGAAUGGAAAACCAGUGGAGGUUCUUCCUCAGUUGUGGGUAAGAUGUGAUAGCUCGGAUGCAGAAAGUACCUGUUGGCUUGGAGCGGAGCCUAUCAAAACCAGCAGGAAUGAGAUCUCAGGAAUGAGCUUCCAUAAGGUAACCUGUGCAGGUCCGACUUCUGACAAAUCCUGUUUUCCAAGUCUUGAAGCAUUAAAGAAAUCCCACAAGGAAAGACAUCAUUCUUCCGCAAUGCAGACAAGAGGAUUUGCUCGAUAUGAUUUAUUUAGCUGCACCGCACUGGAGAAUUCAGUUAUAGAAUCACAAACCAAUGUCACUGUGGACUUUGUGUGGAAUGGAGUAGACCAUAUCCCUCAGAUGCCACCUUUGACGUCUGCGUCAACACUGAAUAUCAGAGUGGAGUCUGGAGAUCUUCGAAGUCCUGUGUACCCUGUGUAUAAAGAGCUGGAUUUCCUUCUGGUUUUAGCUGAAGGCUUGAAAACUGGUGUAACAGAAUGGCCAGAGACUUUAGAAACCAAGUCAGCCGCUGAGCUUGUUCAAGAGCUUCUUAAUGAGCUUAAGAAUAAACUAGACGGAGUUAAUAAUUCAGCUCCUAAAAAGGAUGCAGAGAAAGUAAAGAGUGAUGCUGCAGCGGUGGACAGCUCCAUCCAGUCUUUUAUCAUCGAACGUGGAGAUUUGGACUUUGCUGAGGUGUUGUGGUGUAAAAUGAGAAAAAGUGUAGCUUCUUAUCAGGAUGUUGUAAACUGCUUCUCGCUCGUCGUACAAUCCCUGAGACAUGGCGAUGUGCACCCCUGGAUCCAUCGUGGGAGCAGCAGCACACUGAGCAAGCUAAUUCAGCAGUCCUACCACGGAAACAUGCAAAGUGUCUCCCUUUCAGGCCUCACUCCCAUCCGCAUGCUGCUAGAGAUUGGUUUGGACAAGAUGAAAAAAGAUUAUAUCAACUGCUUUAUAGGUCGAGAACUUGCAACAUUCAAUUACUUGGAUUACUUCAUCAGCACAUCCGUGGAUCUACAAGAGCAGGUGCACCGUGUCAAGAAGCUGCAUCAUAUGCUGGAAGUGGUUGCAAACUGCAAUGCUUUCUUGAGCCUGGAGCAUGAGAACCUCUUUCCGCUUAUACAGUCUUGUUUAAAGUACUACAAGGAGAACCCAUGGAAUGAGCAGCAUGUGUUCAAGCUUCCAAUUCGACCAAGUGUCGUCAGCAGAUUCUACCAGAAUUCUCACCCACAGAUAUGGAAAGUGGAGAUCCUUAGUGGACAUGGGCAGAAGGAAGUCAAAACUAUGUGGCAGCUAAGUGCCCGACCUCCAAUAGACCACGUGUCGUUUGAUGUUCCAGAUAUCCAGACUGACAUGACAAUGACUGGAGAAAGUGAAGAGAUUCUUUAUUACCAAGCACAGAUCAGCUGCAGUCAAGUGCACUUCUUGUGAAGGUGACCAGUCAGGUAAUGGCACACAGUUCCCAGUGCGAUAUCAUAUGUCAAUGGUGUCUUCGGACCUUUAUUGAUAGCUCUAGUCCCACAAACUGGAAUAACCUUUUCCAAAUAUGACCUGUACCGUUGUACUGACCACUGAUGGCUUCUGUACCUGUGUUCUGAUUGAGUGCUACCUGUCCUUGGGGUUUCAUCAUUGUGUCGGAAGAGAACCAGAAGAGGGGGUCUUCAAGUGAAAGUCCUUGCUGUGGGCACAGUUGACAUCACUUAUCAGAUGGUG